Molecule: ribosomal RNA, 98 nt
Filed under: Apera interrupta
Lineage: Eukaryota; Viridiplantae; Streptophyta; Magnoliopsida; Poales; Poaceae
Description: partial 26S ribosomal RNA
Rfam family: Eukaryotic large subunit ribosomal RNA
Source: RNAcentral
GCGACCCCAGGUCAGGCGGGACUACCCGCUGAGUUUAAGCAUAUAAAUAAGCGGAGGAGAAGAAACUUACAAGGAUUCCCCUAGUAACGGCGAGCGAC